This 351-nucleotide long non-coding RNA is filed under the name Mustela putorius furo (domestic ferret). RNAcentral's name for it is "lncRNA (ENSMPUG00000024988.1)". The record is from RNAcentral. Lineage: Eukaryota; Metazoa; Chordata; Mammalia; Carnivora; Mustelidae.
CAAGAAGUGUUAUUGGACACUCCUUCAUCUAUGGGAGAAUCUGACUUCCCAAAAGGAACGAAAGUGAUUUUGUAUGUUAGAAUGGAGAAGCUCCAAAGGAUAUUUACCCACGUUAAUACUUCCUGGAUCUACAGCAAUAAACACGGACAUUCUUUGAGAAAAUGCAUUACCUGAAAGAGCACUUUUGUGCACUUGGAAGCCUGUAUUAUGGAGCCAAGGAAGCUGUAUGGGAAUAUGCAUGACUCUCCUAAAGGAAAAGAAGUUGGGAGCAGAGGUGAUUCCUGUCCAAUUUGGGUGAUGGAUGUAUUCCCACGUCCCAAGCUGUAAAAUACCAGUCCACCGAUUUUGGAA